RNAcentral lists this ribosomal RNA (1126 nucleotides) under Verrucocoeloidea liberatorii. Its description in RNAcentral is "SSU rRNA". It matches the Rfam family "Eukaryotic small subunit ribosomal RNA", at positions 42 to 1057 of the family's 1831-position model. Lineage: Eukaryota; Metazoa; Porifera; Hexactinellida; Sceptrulophora; Euretidae. The record is from RNAcentral.
GAUUAAGCCAUGCAUGUCUAAGUAUAAAUCUGGUUCUAGAUGAAACUGCGAAUGGCUCAUUAAAUCAGUUCUAGUUUCUUUGAUGGUAUCUAACUACAUGGAUAACCGUAGUAACAUAGAGCUAAUACAUGCUUGAAUUCCUGACUGGUUGCUCUCGGGCAAUCGGAAUAGGAUGUAUUUAUUAGAUCCAAAACCAAUGCGUUACUUGCGUCGCUUAACGGUGGCGUGAGUGGCGGUUAAUUUGGUGAUUCAUGCUAACUUUUCGGAUCGCAUGGCCUUGCGCUGGCGACGCUUCAUACAAGUUUCUGCCCUAUCAACUGUCGAUGGUAGGGUAUUGGCCUACCAUGGUUGUAACGGGUGACGGAGAAUUAGGGUUCGAUUCCGGAGAGGGAGCCUGAGAAACGGCUACCACAUCUAUGGAUGGCAGCAGGCGCGCAAAUUACCCAAUCCCGACCUGGGGAGGUAGUGACAAUAAAUAACAAUGCGGUCCAAAUUUGGUUCUGCAAUUGGAAUGAGAACAAUGUAAAUACCUUAACGAGGAGCAAUUGGAGGGCAAGUCUGGUGCCAGCAGCCGCGGUAAUUCCAGCUCCAAUAGCGUAUAUUAAAGUUGUUGCAGUUAAAAAGCUCGUAGUUGGAUUUCGGAACGGUCGGGUUGGUCCGCCCUGAGUGGUGUGUACUAGCCUUGGUAUGUAUGGUUGGGGCGCCCUUGUGGUGUUUCUAACCUGCUGCCCGUGCUGCACGUGUGUGUAGCAUGUGAUCGUUCUUCUCCCUCGGAGACGAGGUCUGUCCUUGAUUGGGUGGGCUUUGGAUGCGAGGUGUUUACUUUGAAAAAAUUAGAGUGUUCAAAGCAGGCCAUUUCUCGCUUGAAUACAUUAGCAUGGAAUAAUGGAAUAGGACUCUGUGUCUAUUUUGUUGGUUUGAAGGCAGAGAGUAAUGAUUAAUAGGGACAGUUGGGGGCAUUCGUAUUUAAUUGUCAGAGGUGAAAUUCUUGGAUUUCUGAAAGACGAACAACUGCGAAAGCAUUUGCCAAGGAUGUUUUCAUUAAUCAAGAACGAAAGUUAGGGGUUCGAAGACGAUCAGAUACCGUCGUAGUCCUAACCAUAAACAAUGCCGACUAGGGAUCAGC